Paramuricea clavata is the source of this 614-nucleotide non-coding RNA. The record is from the annotation of a GenBank genome assembly. NCBI's taxonomy places the organism in Eukaryota, Metazoa, Cnidaria, Anthozoa, Malacalcyonacea, Plexauridae.
CGAAGAUACAAACGUUCACUUAUAACUACUAUGUUAAACCGUGCAUUCCGUUUGUCGUCAUUCAUGGGAACACUUUGUCGAGGAAUGUGAGCGUUUGAAGAACGUUUUCGUCCAUCUCAAAUAUCCACUUGGACUUGUUGAUUCGGUAAUAUCGGGGUUUGUCGACAAGCAGUACGAGGAGGUGAAGGAAACAUCAACGAAACAGCAAGAAAACGUGGUGUGCCUUAUCUUGCCGUUUAAAGAUCAAAAAUCGGCCAAUAUUGUGCGAAGACAACUCACGGGUCUUGGAUCGUUGAUAGGGAAAGCUCUACGACCGGUUUUCACAAGCAGAAAGGUUCACGAUGAUGUUAAAGUACAGGAACUGAAGCCGCCCCUUGUGAAUCAUCAAUGCGUUGUUUACAAAUUUAAAUGUGAUCUGUGCGGUGCAGAUUAUGUUGGCUAUACUUGUCGACACCUACAUCAACGCAUUGAUGAACACAGGGGAUCAGUGGUAGGAAUCCAUAUGCGUGAUAAUCAUGGAGAGAGCUCAUCAAGGAUUGAAAACUGCUUUUCGAUUCUGCGCAAGUGUCGAGAGAAGUACGAGUGCCUUCUCUACGAGAUGCUUUACAUUAGGG